ACGCACGCUGGCGGCGUGCUUAACCCAUGCAAGUCGCACGGAAAGGCCCUGCUUGCAGGGUACUCGAGUGGCGAACGGGUGAGUAACACGUGGGUGAUCUGCCCUGCACUUCGGGAUAAGCUUGGGAAACUGGGUCUAAUACCGGAUAGGAGCCAUCUUUAGUGUGGUGGUUGGAAAGUUUUUUCGGUGUAGGAUGAGCUCGCGGCCUAUCAGCUUGUUGGUGGGGUAAUGGCCUACCAAGGCGGCGACGGGUAGCCGGCCUGAGAGGGUGUACGGCCACAUUGGGACUGAGAUACGGCCCAGACUCCUACGGGAGGCAGCAGUGGGGAAUAUUGCACAAUGGGCGCAAGCCUGAUGCAGCGACGCCGCGUGGGGGAUGAAGGCCUUCGGGUUGUAAACUCCUUUCGCUAGGGACGAAGCUUUUUUGUGACGGUACCUAGAUAAGAAGCACCGGCUAACUACGUG
Molecule: ribosomal RNA, 465 nt
Filed under: uncultured bacterium
Lineage: Bacteria
Description: partial 16S ribosomal RNA
Rfam family: Bacterial small subunit ribosomal RNA
Source: RNAcentral